UUAGUGGCAGACGGGUGAGUAAUGCAUAGGAAUCUACCUAGUAGUAUGGGAUAGCCACUAGAAAUGGUGGGUAAUACUGUAUAAUCCCUGCGGGGGAAAGAUUUAUCGCUAUUAGAUGAGCCUAUGUUAGAUUAGCUAGUUGGUAGGGUAAAGGCCUACCAAGGCAGUGAUCUAUAGCUGGUCUGAGAGGAUGAUCAGCCACACUGGAACUGAGAUACGGUCCAGACUCCUACGGGAGGCAGCAGUGGGGAAUAUUGGACAAUGGGCGCAAGCCUGAUCCAGCUAUGCCGCGUGAGUGAGGAAGGCCUUAGGGUUGUAAAACUCUUUCAGUGGGGAAGAUAAUGACGGUACCCACAGAAGAAGUCCCGGCAAACUCCGUGCCAGCAGCCGCGGUAAUACGGAGGGGGCAAGCGUUGUUCGGAAU
RNAcentral lists this ribosomal RNA (424 nucleotides) under Anaplasma platys. RNAcentral describes it as "bacterial SSU rRNA". It matches the Rfam family "Bacterial small subunit ribosomal RNA", at positions 92 to 551 of the family's 1533-position model. The record is from RNAcentral. Lineage: Bacteria; Pseudomonadati; Pseudomonadota; Alphaproteobacteria; Rickettsiales; Anaplasmataceae.